Molecule: non-coding RNA, 318 nt
Organism: Electrophorus electricus (electric eel)
Lineage: Eukaryota; Metazoa; Chordata; Actinopteri; Gymnotiformes; Gymnotidae
Source: RefSeq, a predicted model, not a curated record
GAGAUUUAUGAUGAUGCCGUUACUCUUGCACCAAACUCAGAUGUUACAACAGAGGACUAUGAUGAUGUCAUCUCCCCUGGACAGGACUCAGGAGGUGGUACAGGUGAGAAUACAGAUGCAGUUUAGGUGGAGCCCAUUAUAACAGAGUAUGAUAAACUGUACGACACAAAGGAAAGGCUUCAGACAGCGAAGACCUCAUGAAUGAGGUUGCUUAUGCUCAGGAAAUUACAUUUCAUGUCUUGAAACUCAAACAGUGAUUAGUGAUAGUAUAUAAUGGUUCAAUGGUCCUGCAGUACCCCUAAAAUCAUUUCUAAGCAU